Molecule: non-coding RNA, 212 nt
Organism: Notechis scutatus (mainland tiger snake)
Lineage: Eukaryota; Metazoa; Chordata; Lepidosauria; Squamata; Elapidae
Source: RefSeq, a predicted model, not a curated record
UGUUUUGAAGCAUGGCCGAAUCUUUAGAUCCCUUAGGACUGAAGGUUCCAUUAUUCAGUGCAGACUCAUGGCAAGAAAAUUUAAGAGACUGAGCUAACCAAUGGCAGAUAGAUAGAUCACUGAAUGAUUCUGUGAGCAACUCAAUCUGCCUGCCUGCUUUGCCUGAUUUUGGGUAAAAGUUGUUCUUUUUUAAUAAAAAAUUCAAUAUUUAC